RNAcentral lists this long non-coding RNA (470 nucleotides) under Equus caballus (horse). RNAcentral describes it as "lncRNA (ENSECAG00000057804.1)". The record is from RNAcentral. Lineage: Eukaryota; Metazoa; Chordata; Mammalia; Perissodactyla; Equidae.
UUUUUAUUUAUUUGAAUUCUGGUGCUUGAGGAAAGUCAAUUCAUCUAGCAGAGACAAAAAGGAAGCUUAUGUGGUCCUCUUGAAAGAUAUUUUCUGCGGUCUCGCAGAAGAGGAACUCCCAUGUGGGAGAGAAGUGGCAGACUUCUCCCUGAGGGGCAUAGCGGUGGGGACCACACAGCUGGAAGAAUCGUGCAGAACGCACAGCGCUUCACCUUCGACAGCACUUCCCAGGCUACAGGCUGCUUUAGAGGCAGACCUCAUGGCCUUGUGGAGCCUCUCAACUUUCAAGCAAAUGCUGCAAGAAGUCAGACUCAGGUCUCAAACUCCUUUGGAAGGGGCUGGAGAUGCACUAGCUGCAUUGAGCCAUAUGAAAAAGGAACUUUACAAAUAAAGCAAAAAGUACUCCAAGAUUUUCCACAUCUCCAACAGGCCUCCAAAAAGACUAUAGAACUUCAUAAAGCAUUAGAGAA